UUAAAAAGCUCGUAGUUGGAUUUCUGCGGGGGCGGGCGGCCGGAUGCUUAUAGCUCUCGAGCUAGCACUUCCCCCGCAUCCUGCCGCGAACCGUGCUACCAUUAGUUUGGUGGCACUUGGGAUCGGCUCGUUUACUUUGAGAAAAAUAGAGUGUUCAAAGCAGGCCACACGCCUUGAAUAAGUUAGCAUGGAAUAAUGAUAAAGGACUUCGGUUCUAUUUUGUUGGUGUUCGGGACUGAAGUAAUGAUUGAUAGGGACAGUUGGGGCGGUCAGUAUUCCAAAGCGAGAGGUGAAAUUCUUAGACCUUCGGAAGACUAACAGCUGCGAAAGCGUUCCGCAAGGAUGUUCCCUUUGAUCAAGAACGAAAGUUGGGGGAUCGAAGACGAUCAGAUACCGUCGUAGUCUCAACUAUAAACUAUACCAGCUAGGGAUCGGCCGACGUUUACUUAUAUCGACUCGGUCGGCACCUUAUGAGAAAUCAAAGCAUCUGGGUUCCGGGGGGAGUAUGGUCGCAAGGCUGAAACUCAAAGGAAUUGACGGAAGGGCACCACCAGCCGUGGAGC
Molecule: ribosomal RNA, 563 nt
Filed under: uncultured marine eukaryote
Lineage: Eukaryota
Description: bacterial SSU rRNA
Rfam family: Eukaryotic small subunit ribosomal RNA
Source: RNAcentral